UACGGAGGAUGCAAGCGUUAUCCGGAAUGAUUGGGCGUAAAGCGUCCGCAGGUGGCGAUGUAAGUCUGCUGUUAAAGAGUCUAGCUUAACUAGAUAAAGGCGGUAGAAACUACAUGGCUAGAGUGCGUUCGGGGCAGAGGGAAUUCCUGGUGUAGCGGUGAAAUGCGUAGAGAUCAGGAAGAACACCGGUGGCGAAAGCGCUCUGCUAGGCCGCAACUGACACUGAGGGACGAAAGCUAGGGGAG
This 245-nucleotide ribosomal RNA is filed under the name uncultured bacterium. RNAcentral's name for it is "partial 16S ribosomal RNA". It matches the Rfam family "Bacterial small subunit ribosomal RNA", at positions 524 to 768 of the family's 1533-position model. The record is from RNAcentral.